This 1281-nucleotide long non-coding RNA is filed under the name Papio anubis (olive baboon). RNAcentral describes it as "lncRNA (ENSPANG00000049929.1)". The record is from RNAcentral. Lineage: Eukaryota; Metazoa; Chordata; Mammalia; Primates; Cercopithecidae.
AUGUGGCACCCCAGAAGCCACCCACCUGUGGACCCGGGUCCACCACAGCACACGCAAUGCCACACAAACACAGCACAGUACACACCACCACACACAUCCACAGCACAGUUACACCAUGCCCCACACACUGUGACACACACACAUCACAAUACAUCCAUCACACACAUAGUCACACCAUCCCCACACACCACCACACAAACUCACCACACACAUCUAUCACCACACACACAGUCACACCAUCCCCACAUACCACCACACACAAACACACCACACACAGUUACACCAUCCCCCACACACCGUGACACAAACACAUCAUACACAGUUACACCAUCCCCCACACACCAUGACACACAACACAUAUCACACAUCCAUCACACACACAGUUAUACCAUCCCCCACACACCAUCACACACGCAAACACACCACACACAUCCAUCACACACGGUCACACCAUCCCCACACACCGCCACAUACAAACACACCACACACAUCCAUCACACACGGUCACACCAUCCCCACACACCGCCACAUACAAACACACCACACACAUCCAUCACACACAGUCACACCAUCCCCACACACCACCACACACAAACACACCACACACAUCCAUCACACACACACAGUCACACCAUCCCCACACACCGCCACACACAAACACAUCACACAGUUACACCAUCCCCCACACACCGUGACACGCACACACAUUACACACACAUACAGUUACACCAUGUCCCACACACCACCACACACACAAACACACCACACACAUCCACAUCACACACACACAGUCACACCGUCCGCACACUCCACCACACACCCAAAUACGCCACACACAUCCGCAGCGCACACUAUGACCAUACGCCCCAGCCACACACACACCCCACAAGACACUCGCACACAGAGCACACACACGUAGUGGAUGAGCCCGGUUUCGAGCCCCGAGGGCCUGGCCACCGCUGGAAUAGGCCGUGGGCAGUGGCAGGGCGGGCCAGGGUCUGCCUUCCCGUGAACUGCCUUUCAGAUCAGGGCACCACGGUGGAGUCCCACAGGCGGCUGGGAAGAGCCGGAGGAGCUGAGGUUUCGGGGAGCCCCACUCUGCCCUCCGGGGGCUGCCGCCCCGCCCGCGCUGGCCUCAGCCACCCCCCUCCCGAGCUCCCUCCCACCCUCCCCAGCCUCCUGCCCCAGCCAGGCUGUACCCGCCCCCGGUGCCCCUGCGCCCCGGCAGCGCCCUGCUGUGCCAUGCCCCACGCUGGCCCUGGGGAGGUGUUCGCCGGAUAA